This 492-nucleotide ribosomal RNA is filed under the name uncultured bacterium. RNAcentral's name for it is "partial 16S ribosomal RNA". It matches the Rfam family "Bacterial small subunit ribosomal RNA", at positions 29 to 507 of the family's 1533-position model. The record is from RNAcentral.
AGUGAACGCUGGCGGUAGGCCUAACACAUGCAAGUCGAACGGCAGCACAGUAAGAGCUUGCUCUUACGGGUGGCGAGUGGCGGACGGGUGAGGAAUACAUCGGCAUCUACUUUUUCGUGGGGGAUAACGUAGGGAAACUUACGCUAAUACCGCAUACGACCUACGGGUGAAAGCAGUGGAUCUUCGUACCUUGCGCGAUUGAAUGAGCCGAUGUCGGAUUAGCUAGUUGGCGGGGUAAAGGCCCACCAAGGCGACGAUCCGUAGCUGGUCUGAGAGGAUGAUCAGCCACACUGGAACUGAGACACGGUCCAGACUCCUACGGGAGGCAGCAGUGGGGAAUAUUGGACAAUGGGCGCAAGCCUGAUCCAGCCAUACCGCGUGGGUGAAGAAGGCCUUCGGGUUGUAAAGCCCUUUUGUUGGGAAAGAAAAGCAGCAGGUGAAUACCCCGCUGUUCUGACGGUACCCAAAGAAUAAGCACCGGCUAACUUCGUG